This is a long non-coding RNA of Tyto alba (common barn owl), 4059 nucleotides long. RefSeq lists it as uncharacterized. Lineage: Eukaryota; Metazoa; Chordata; Aves; Strigiformes; Tytonidae. The record is from RefSeq and is a predicted model, not a curated record. The transcript is spliced from 2 exons.
UCUUCUCCUGGAUGGACCCCUUUGGCUGGCUGUUGCAGUUUUGUCUUCAGUCCUGACCCCGGCCCUAUCUCCUGCUGCUCCUGAGGGCUUCCUCCCUGCCACCAUCAACGGACCCCCGGCUCAACUGCCUCAUCGUGAACUGCUGAGGAUGACUGCUACCAGCACCUUGCCUCCUGGUGCUGUGAGGCUGUGCCCUGGUCAGCAGGGCUCUGGCUGCCCUGCGGUCACCCUCAGCACCUGGCUUGGCCUUCCUCAUUGCAGCAGCCCUGCUCUUGUUGCUCUCCAAGUAGUAUCGUUCCAGCCUGAAUAGCUGAAACUGUUCGAGAGCUGUGUAAAGUGGUAAUGUAAAUUGGAAAGACUUAACUAAUCUUGCCUGCAGAUAUCAAUGUGACUGCACCGGCAGUAAGAUGAAUGAUGCACAUUUAAAGAUGCUGAGAUACAACGGUGUUGCCAAAGAGUGCACAUACUUUUACAUUAAGAACAUAAAGCAUUAGUACCAGGAAGGUAUUUAUUUCCUCCCCCUCUUCAAAUGUGACACUGGAAGAGCCAGAUGGGACAGCUGAUACAAGUGGAGACUUCUGACAGCGGCAGCACAGCCUGUCCCAACAGAACAGGAUAUUCUCUGGAGUUGGCCAAGAUCCAGCAGCACUACUGUGCCAGACAUUCAGUGCCUGCUCCAGAACUUCCAGUGCCACCAACGGAUGAGAGGCUGGGAGUGCCAGUAUCUGCUGGGAGCACUCCUCAGAGACAGUUGUGACCAUAGCCUUCAGGGGCUCUAGGGCACGAAUUGUCUUCUUCUGAUGAGCUAAAGAAAGCAGAGGUGGGGGUCUCACAAUGAGCAACCAAGCCUGAAUUUCACUCAGCUGGGCUGUUGGAUAUUCAGUGCCAAAACAGUGCUGGUGGGAAGCGGGACUGAACAUGGAGCUUUUACUGCUUGGCCUGGUGAGUUGCCUAAGGACUGGGAGGAAUAUCUGCUGGGAUUAUAGCCUUUUGUUUAUCCAGCUGUGCAUAUGGACUUCAUAAGAUUUCAGUUCAUGCUAUUUAUCCUGGUUUGGAAAACAAAGGAUGAACAGUAUUUUAUUUUAUUUUCUUGAACACUGAUGGCUUCAUCAUGUUUCACUAGGUGGGAAGAUGUCAUCCUUUAAGCACAGCCAGCUUAUGGGGCUAAAGACAGCUGGUAAUUAACAAUAUAUCCUUUUUUGUGAAGGCAAAUUUUUCAUGAACUUUGAUCUGCUUUCUUGUCUCCAAAUGCAUGGUCUCAUGCAACCCUUUGUAUACAAAUUUGUUGUCUACCCACUCUCCUCUCUUUUCAGGUAUGCCUUGACCCUCUCUUCUUUUGCCUUUCUCUUCAGUACAUUUCAUACAGAACUCGUGCUCUUCUUGGCUUUCUCUCCUGUAAUGUGUGCUUUUCACUCCCAGUUAUUUCCAAUUUGACUUGAAAAUUUUUCUAAAAGAUAUUUACCUGGGGAACCCAGUGACACUACUUGACCCGGGUCCCACAUCCUAGUUACAGUUACAUGGUAGAACUUGGUCUGUUGUCACCUCCUUGGUGUGGAGGCUUGUUUUUAUGACUAGAUGGAAUUCCACCAGGAGAAUAAAAUGACCAAAGACAGGAUAUGGUGUGAUUCAAAUGAGGCUGUGAGCAAGCCUCAUUUUGUUUGUGAAUAACUGCAUUAUUCAGCAACCAAAACUCCCUUGCUGGAACAGAGGGAUAGAAAUGCUGGUGGAUGCUGAAUAAUCUGAUUUGAAGGUAUUUUUCCUCCUCAGUAAAAUCUGGUAUUAGUAUUUAGGUACAAAUACUAUGCAACAAAUCUUGCAUUUUAAAAGUUAAAAGGCAUACAUAAAUUAAGAACAGGAACUACUUUUCUUAUUAUACUUGGGUGUGAAUUUCCUUCCCACGCUAUAAUUGUACCAAAGGUUUUGCAAAACUCUUUCACUACAGUACUUGUAUCAGGGCAAGAGACGGCAAAAAUGAGAGCAUUUAGCACAGGGAUUCUGACACUAGACUGUUUGGUAGCUCAGUGUGAUCAUGUUAAAACCUCAGCAAACUUGUUUCAAGGUGUAGUUUGAGUGUUUCUCAACUGACUCCUGACCACAAGCAAACCCCUUUUAAAUUAAGCGCAACAGUAUUUUUAAUUGUAGUUGGCUAAUAUAUCAGAAGUUAGAGCACAACUCGUUGGCUGCCAAAGUGAUUAUUUUCUAGUGUGGACACCAGCCAGUGACAUCUGAGAACAUUAUCUCUCUGAUGACCACUCAUAACUCUCCCCAUGCCAAGAAUUGACAGACAUUCUCCCACUUGGAAAGAAUUCAAGCUGGGGUGCAGCUCAUUGCACAUCCAGAAUUGCUGGAUGGACCCAGAAGUCUUAGGAGUCCAUGUGGAGGCCCUGUGGGCAUAGCAACCUGAGUAUUAUUUUAAUCAAGAAACGGAUUCACCUGUGGACAACAUCACUCCGAAGUGAAGACCUACCCUGUCACUGAGCUUUGUCUUAGAGGAGCUCCUAGCAACAUAACCUUUGUCUUGGAUCAAGCUCACAGUUGUAGGGAUUUGAUGGCUCUCUCCUCCACGAUGGUAUUUUCCAUAUUCUGCUUAGUACUUUCACAUUCAUGUGAAUUUACUCCAGAAACAAUGCCACGCAGCCUCAGUGCUGGCUCAGCACAGCCUUAUCACCCGAAGGAGCUAUAGUUGUAUGCCCAGCUCUGGCAGAAGAUGAAUAGUUGCAAGCAGCCAGUACAGGCUGCACAUCCCUGUACCCAUCAGAGGCAGCCACCUUCUUUUUAUUUUUAAUUUUUUUAAAACCAGAUUAUUCUGAUUGAACUGGGAACAUGUUGUAAUGCUACCAGAUUUAAGGGGAGAACCCGCCCUGGCAGUGGGUGCAGCGGUGAGCACCUUAAAAGUCAUAUAGGCUAAGCUCAGUACACAAUACAUGACUAGGGCAGAAAAAAACAGAGUAAGACAAAGCUGCUAAAUCAGACUACAAAGAUAAUAGCCAGUUGUCUGAGAAAUACGAUGUUCUGCUUUAGAGGAGGUUUAGUUUAGUUUCAGUUUCAAAGGAAUCUGAAAUGCUACAGAUAGAGUGUGCGUUUUAGGUGGAGUGAUGAGACAUCUCUCUAAGCAAACUGUCCCAUUUAUCAGCUCCAACGCUUCACCUUAAGACUCCAAGCACUGUAGUGAGGGAUUAUAAACAGAAUAUAAAAUUCUAAUGUUAGGAGCCCUCAGAAUGGCCACUUCUCACAGAUUUUAAAGAAUUUUUGUUAAGCACAGUCAGACAUAAUUGAAGAAUAAAGAUAAAUACAGAAGAGCGCAGUUCUACAAAUCAGUAAAUUUCCUUCCUUUGCUCUUGUACUGUUUCUGCUCUCAGACAUUUGAUUUUUUUCUCUUCCCUAGCACUGACACUUUCCUGAGCAAUUCAGCUCAUUAAACCAACAGGAAACUGCAGCUCUAGGUGAGAGAAGGCCAAAACUAUUUCUCUUGUUUAGAGCAAAGAACUUGUUUAUAGUAGAAUCCUAGUUGGUCAGCAUGUUCUAUUCAUACUAUUUUCUUCACUUGCAUAGUUUAGUCAACUGCUAGGCAGAAUUAAUAACAAGAUUUGAAAUAUGCAACUUCUCCCUGAGAAAAUUGAAGUAGACUUUGAGAUGGUUCGUUAAGCUUCCUGAGGACCCCUGAUAACGAGGGCCCAAGAUGCCAGUGUCAAAAUAAGUACCUGGGAAUUAGUUUACACUGACCUUCUUUGGAGCAUCCCAGGGCCAAAGAAUGGAUGAGCUAACUCCAGGAUCAUAUAUGAGCAAAGGAAACCCAAAGUUCAAUCAGUGGACACUGUGAGGAAGACUCUGAACGACCACCAGAGGGGGAAAAGACCCUAACCCCAAUUUUAUCACGCAUGCUCAGACUCUGUAGAUAAGUUCUAGGAAAUCUUAUGUAUAUGUAGAUUAGUUCUCAGAAAUCCACUGAAUAUGUAUAACCUCGCAGCGUAUAUUCUCUGUGAUUUUACCUGUCCAUUGGAGCACUCGUGGUGGAGGGAUCCCCAGCGCCGCUAAUAAAGAAUACCUGCUUAACAGUUA